Molecule: ribosomal RNA, 516 nt
Filed under: Salmonella enterica subsp. enterica serovar Enteritidis
Lineage: Bacteria; Pseudomonadati; Pseudomonadota; Gammaproteobacteria; Enterobacterales; Enterobacteriaceae
Description: partial 23S ribosomal RNA
Rfam family: Bacterial large subunit ribosomal RNA
Source: RNAcentral
UAAGCGACUAAGCGUACACGGUGGAUGCCCUGGCAGUCAGAGGCGAUGAAGGGCGUGCUAAUCUGCGAUAAGCGCCGGUAAGGUGAUAUGAACCGUUAUAACCGGCGAUACCCGAAUGGGGAAACCCAGUGUGACUCGUCACACUAUCAUUAACUGAAUCCAUAGGUUAAUGAGGCGAACCGGGGGAACUGAAACAUCUAAGUACCCCGAGGAAAAGAAAUCAACCGAGAUUCCCCCAGUAGCGGCGAGCGAACGGGGAGGAGCCCAGAGCCUGAAUCAGCAUGUGUGUUAGUGGAAGCGUCUGGAAAGGCGCGCGAUACAGGGUGACAGCCCCGUACACAAAAGCGCAUGUGCUGUGAGCUCGAUGAGUAGGGCGGGACACGUGGUAUCCUGUCUGAAUAUGGGGGGACCAUCCUCCAAGGCUAAAUACUCCUGACUGACCGAUAGUGAACCAGUACCGUGAGGGAAAGGCGAAAAGAACCCCGGCGAGGGGAGUGAAAAAGAACCUGAAACCGU